This 134-nucleotide small nucleolar RNA is filed under the name Drosophila ananassae. RNAcentral describes it as "snoRNA:GF26062". Lineage: Eukaryota; Metazoa; Arthropoda; Insecta; Diptera; Drosophilidae. The record is from RNAcentral.
GCACUAAUCCUUUGAAAAAGCUGCAAAUGUUUUAGUUUGCAGUCGAAUGGGAUAAGGUGCUAGAGCAUUUGGGUGAUAGGGUGUUCAUGUAGCCUAACUUCAUGGCUAUCUUUGGCCAAUCAUCACUUGGACAG